Molecule: ribosomal RNA, 436 nt
Filed under: Molycria broadwater
Lineage: Eukaryota; Metazoa; Arthropoda; Arachnida; Araneae; Prodidomidae
Description: partial 16S ribosomal RNA
Source: RNAcentral
UUUUAUUAAAAUUAUUAAUAAUAAAAUCUGCUCAAUGAAUUUAAAUAGCCGCAAUACUGUGCUAAGGUAGCAUAAUAAUUCGUUUUUUAAUUUAAAACUAGAACAAAAGAUUAAACAUUUUAAUUAACUUCUUAAAUUUAUAAAUUAAAAUUAUCCUUAAAGUUAAAAGACUUUAAUAAUUUAGAAAGACGACAAGACCCUAUUGAACUUUACUAAAGUUAAACUGGGGAAGUUAAUUAAUUAUUAUUUUAGUAUAAUUAUUAAUAUAAAAGACCUAAUUAAAUUAAUUAAUUAAUUAAGUUACCAUAGGGAUAACAGCGUAAUGAUAAUUCAAAGUUCUUAUUUAAAUAUAUAAUUACGACCUCGAUGUUGAAUAAUAACCUAUAUUUAUGAAGAAGUAUAAUAAGGAAGUCUGUUCGACUUUUAAAAAAUUACA